GCCAGCUUGGUGUAGUGGUUAGAAUAUUGGACUAGAACUGCAAAUAUCAAGGUUGAAAUCCCUACUUGACU
Molecule: non-coding RNA, 71 nt
Organism: Phrynosoma platyrhinos (Desert horned lizard)
Lineage: Eukaryota; Metazoa; Chordata; Lepidosauria; Squamata; Phrynosomatidae
Source: the annotation of a GenBank genome assembly